This 497-nucleotide ribosomal RNA is filed under the name uncultured bacterium. Its description in RNAcentral is "partial 16S ribosomal RNA". It matches the Rfam family "Bacterial small subunit ribosomal RNA", at positions 28 to 507 of the family's 1533-position model. The record is from RNAcentral.
GAUGAACGCUGGCGGCGUGCCUAAUACAUGCAAGUCGAGCGAACAGACGAGGAGCUUGCUCCUCUGACGUUAGCGGCGGACGGGUGAGUAACACGUGGAUAACCUACCUAUAAGACUGGGAUAACUUCGGGAAACCGGAGCUAAUACCGGAUAAUAUAUUGAACCGCAUGGUUCAAUAGUGAAAGACGGUUUUGCUGUCACUUAUAGAUGGAUCCGCGCCGCAUUAGCUAGUUGGUAAGGUAACGGCUUACCAAGGCAACGAUGCGUAGCCGACCUGAGAGGGUGAUCGGCCACACUGGAACUGAGACACGGUCCAGACUCCUACGGGAGACAGCAGUAGGGAAUCUUCCGCAAUGGGCGAAAGCCUGACGGAGCAACGCCGCGUGAAUGAUGAAGGUCUUCGGAUCGUAAAACUCUGUUAUUAGGGAAGAACAAAUGUGUAAGUAACUAUGCACGUCUUGACGGUACCUAAUCAGAAAGCCACGGCUAACUACGUG